AUGGCGGAGCCGUCGGCCGCCCCGCCGGCGCCGACUGACGCGGAGAGGGAGGACGCCCUGGACCGGAUGCUCACGUGGCUGGCCCUCGCCGAGGACGCCCGCCUCGCGCCGCUGCUCGUCCGCGUGCUCCCCUACGCCAUCACUUCUUUCGCCUCCACCUCCACCUCCGUCCGCAAGCUCGCUAUGGAGAUUCUCAGCCACAUCAACAAACGGGUGAAGCACAGGCCUGAGAUUUCGCUGCCCAUGCUGGAUUUAUGGAAGAUCUAUACUGAAUCUGCUUCAACGUCAAUUGUUCGCAACUUCUGUAUUGUUUAUAUUGAGAUGGCGUUUGAACGCCUGCCAAGCGAGGAGAAGGGAAACAUUGCACCUGAUUUGUUAAUCAAUAUAUCAAAAGUUCCAGCUCAGCAUCAAGGAAUUAUCUUGAGACUUGUAUCAAAGGCUAUUGGUGAAUGCAACACACGUAAGGUGGAUGAUAGCAUUGCCUUAAAAUAUCGAUCCAUAAGUGGAUCUGAUGAUGGCUUAGUUUUUGCUGACUUCUGCUUUCACACAAUAUUGUAUCAAACACCAUCUCAAGGCAUUGGUUGCCCAGCAGGACUUUCAGUUGCCCAAGCAGAUCGUGUUACUGGAAAGCUACCACUGAAAGGUGAAACACUUGCAUCAAGAAAGCUAGGUAUCUUGAAUGUUCUUGAAGCUAUGCAGCUGGCAUCUGAGAUUGUCUACCCUAUUUAUUUAGCUGGUGCUUCAGAUAGUCAAGAAUCAGUUGCUAAGAGAGGAGACGAGUUGUUAAAGCGCAAAGCUUCAACUGCGAACUUAGAAGAUGCCAAGCUUAUCAAUAGAUUGUUCACACUAUUCAAUGGUACCGCAAGUGCAGAAAAUAUAGCUGCAGAACUGAAAGUCGCCCCAGCACCUAGUUCAUUGCGUGUUCGCCUAAUGAGUGUUUUCUGCCGGUCUAUUGCUGCAGCAAACGCAUUUCCAUACACACUUCAAUGCAUUUUUGGCUGCAUCUAUGGAAGUGGAACCACUUCAAGGCUGAAACAGCUAGGGAUGGAGUUCACUGUCUGGGUUUUUAAACAUGCAGUAAUGGACCAACUAAAGUUAAUUGGCCCAGUUAUCCUCAGUGGAAUAUUACGGUCCCUUGAUGGUUCAUCCAGUACAGAAGCAGAUUCCACUGCUAGAGAUGUCAAAAUAUUUGCAUACCAGGCCAUUGGUUUGCUCGCCUCUCGUAUGCCUAAUUUAUUCAGCAACAAAACAGAAAUUGCUAUGCGACUCUUUACUGCUUUGAGGUUGGAGGAUCAAUCACUCCGCCUCACAAUUCAGGAGGCAGCCACUUCCCUUGCUACAGCAUAUAAGGGUGCUUCAAUUGUAGUACUGAAGGAUCUUGAGGCGCUUCUUCUGGAAAAUUGUCAAGUGGAGCAAAUUGAGGUUCGAUUUUCUGCUGUAAGAUGGGCAACAACGUUAUACGACAUGCAGCACUGCCCAAGCCGGUAUAUUUGCAUGCUUGGAGCUUCAGAUGUAAAACUGGACAUAAGGGAAAUGGCUCUAACAGGUCUAAAUCUGUUAAAUGAUGAGAGGCAGUCACCUGCAAUGACUGUUGAUUUCAACUACCCCGAUAUUGUGGAGAUGCUAAAUUAUAUCUACAGCCAGCAGCCUAAGCUGCUGCAAUCUAACAAUCAGAGUGAUGGAAAGCUGCUAUUCUCAUCAAAAACAUUUCUUGCAAUGAUCAAGUUUCUGAUGAAGUGCUUUGAGGCAAGUGAUAUUCCAGAUCUUUCGCAAGAAGAUCCAUCUCAUUCCCCAGUAGCAAAAAUGUGUGUGGUCUUAGAACAUGCCAUGUCGUACGAAGGGUCUAGUGAACUGCAUGCAUUGGCCUUGAAGUCAUUGGUUGAUAUAUCCUUUCGUCAGCCAAAGUUGGUAUCGUCACGGUAUGCCAACCGUUUACAUUGGCUGAGAACUUUACUAAGUCAUGUUGAUUCUGAUGCUCGUGAAUCUGCGGCCCGUCUGCUUGGCAUUGCUUCUUCAGCACUUUCAAGCUCGGCUGCGUUGAAUCUUCUGUCUGAACUCACUUCAGCACUUGACCCAAAUCAUCCGUCAAGAUUUGAGAUUUACCAUGGAUUGUUAUGCGCAACCGGGUAUGUAACCGCCUGCUGUUUGAAGGAAUCUUAUAUACCUGAAGAACUGGUCCAAAAGGUAGUUGAUAUUCUUGUAAAAGUUGUUGAGUCUGAGGGUUCAACAUUGGCAUCACUUGCAAUGGAAUCUCUUGGCCAUAUUGGGCUCCGUUGUGUAUUGCCUUCCAUUAGUAGGAACUCCUCUGCAGCUGGAGUUUUAACUGUUCUGCAUGAGAGAUUAACAAAGCUGCUUUCCGAAAAUGAUACCAAAGCUAUACAAAAGAUCUUGGUAUCACUUGGACAUAUUUCAUGGAAUGAGUUGUCCUUUUCACAUCUGAAAAUUGCGUUAGACUUGAUUUUCAGUCUCGCGCGUUCUAAGGUUGAAGAUGUGCUUUUUGCAUCUGGCGAGGCUCUCUCUUUCAUAUGGGGUGAAGUUCCUGUGACUGCAGAUGUGAUACUAGAAACAAACUUUGUUUCCCUUUCCCAAGCCACAAACUUUCUUACUGGUGAUGCACCCCUGCUUGACUCAAGGAACUUCGGUAAAAGAAGCAGCUGUGAAGAAGCACGUACAACGGCUCAAGAUGAAAUUAUAAACAAGUUGUUUGAUACACUAAUUUAUAGCAGCAGAAAAGAGGAACGCUGUGCGGGUACAGUCUGUUUGGUCUCGCUCACGAUGUACUGUGGUCGGCAUCCGAAGAUCCUUGAACUCCUUCCACAGAUUCAGGAAGCCUUUUCUCACCUUAUUGGCGAUUCUAAUGAGCUUACACAAGAUUUGGCAUCCCAAGGUAUGAGUAUUGUGUAUGAACUUGGUGAUGCUUCUAUGAAAGGGCAGUUGGUUCAUGCACUGGUGAAUACGCUGACUGGCGCAGCAAAAAAGAAAAAGGCCAUUAAGCUGAUGGAGGAUUCAGAGGUUUUUCAAGAAGGAACCAUUGGCAGUAAUCCUGCUGGAGGAAAGCUUAGCACAUACAAGGAGCUCUGUAGUCUUGCCAAUGAGAUGGGACAACCUGACUUGAUAUACAAGUUCAUGGAUCUGGCUAACUAUCAGGCUGCUCUCAAUUCCAAGAGGGGUGCUGCUUUUGGAUUUUCCAAGAUAGCCAAACAAGCUGGGGAGGCACUUCAACCCCAUCUGCACACCUUAAUUCCUAGGCUUGUCCGAUACCAAUAUGAUCCUGAUAAGAACAUCCAGGAUUCAAUGGGGCAUAUCUGGAAGUUAAUUGUUUCAGAUCCCAAAAAGGCAAUAGAUGAACAUUAUGAUGUCAUAGUAGAGGAUCUGUUGGUUCAAUCUGGAUCACGGCUUUGGCGCUCACGUGAAGCUUCUUGUCUUGCACUUGCAGACAUCAUCCAAGGUCGAAGAUAUAGUCAGGUUUCUAAGCAUUUGAUAAAAAUAUGGACAACCACCUUCCGUGCGAUGGAUGACAUAAAGGAAACCGUGCGAAAUGCUGGUGACAGUUUGUGCCGAGCUGUAAGCUCAUUGACAGUUAGGCUAUGUGAUGUGUCACUUACUACCGCUUCUGAUGCAAAAGAAACAAUGAACAUUGUACUUCCAUUCUUGCUUUCUGAAGGCAUACUCAGUAAAGUUGCAAGCGUUCAAAAAGCAUCUAUAAAUUUGGUCAUGAAGCUUGCCAAGGGGGCUGGCAUUGCCUUGCGGCCACAUCUGUCAGAACUUGUUAGUUGUAUGCUUGAAUGUUUGUCAAGUCUGGAGGAUCAAAGGUUAAACUAUGUUGAGAUGCAUGCAGGAAAUGCUGGCAUCCAAACCGAGAAGCUUGACAGCUUGCGUGUAGCUGUAGCAAAAGAUUCUCCAAUGUGGGAAACCCUUGAUAUAUGUAUCGAAGUUGUUGACACAAAUUCACUCGAGCUAUUGAUUCCUCGCCUGGCUCAAAUGGUUAGAUCUGCUGUUGGUCUUAAUACAAGGGUUGGUGUUGCUAGCUUCAUCACCUUGCUGGUACAGAAGGUCAUGAUUAACAUCAAGCCAUACACGGCGAUGUUACUGAAAUUACUUUAUACUGCUGUUCUGGAGGAAAGGAGUACUGCAGCCAAAAGGGCCUUUGCGUCUUCUUGUGCUGCAGUUUUGAAAUAUGCCAGCCAAUCUCAGGCUCAGAAACUUAUUGAAGACACCGCUUCUCUGCAUUUAGGUGAAAAAAGUUCUCAGUUAUCUGGCGCAGUUCUUAUUAAAUCGUACUUGAGCAAUGCAGCAGAUGUUAUUAGUGGAUACAAUGCAGUGGUUAUCCCUGUAAUUUUUUCUUCAAGAUUUGAUGAUGAUAAAGAGACCAGUGCCUUGUAUGGAGAACUUUGGGAGGAUAUUCCUAGCAGUGAAAGAGUAACCCUUCAGCUUUAUUUACCAGAAAUUGUAUCCCUUUUGUGCGAUUGCAUGUCCUCAUCAUCAUGGGCUGGCAAGAGAAAGUCAGCCAAGGCUACAAAAAGUCUAUGUGAUGCCCUUGGAGAACCUGUUUCUGCGCACCACCAUAAUAUUCUCAAAUCACUUCUGAAAGAGCUACCAGGUCGAUUUUGGGAGGGAAAAGAUGCUGUUCUGGAUGCACUAGCUUCACUGUGUUUGUGCUGCCACGCCGCUAUAACUGCAGACGAACCAACUAUGCCUAGUGUUAUUCUGAAUGCUGUUUGUGCUGCAUGCAGUAGGAAGCCGAAAUUGUACCGUGAAGCAGCUUUCUCGUGUUUACAGCAAGUGAUCACUGCAUUCAAAGAUCCAGGAUUCUUCAAUAGUGUUUUCCCUAUGUUGUAUGAGGUUUCUAAUCAGUCUGUCAUUUUUAAGACAACAAGGAGUUCAUCUUCACUAAGUACAUCUGCUGCUGCUGAGCAAGAUGAAAGUGCAAGUGUCUCCGUUUCUCUUGACAAGGUGCUCAACUGUGCUGCAUCUAGCAUCACUAUUGCUUUGCCACAAGAUAUUAUCCACCAAAAGAAGAAUAUGUUAGAGGUUCUGUUGAACUCUCUUUCACCCGAGGAGGGUUGGCAAGUUAAAUUGUCAUCCUUCUUGUGUAUCAAAGAAUUGUGCUACAAAUUUUCGGAUUCUGGUGGUAGCACGGCGUGGCCUGAAGGCACAGAUGAUUUUGUUCAGGAGAUGUUCCAUUCAGUGGCGUCAAAAGUAGUAGACUCCAUACGCUUAGUUAAGAUUGCUCAGGUUCAUGUUGCUGCUUCAGAGUGCCUUCUUGAGUUGAUCAAAUUGUAUAGAGACUUCCCGUUGGAAGAGAGAAGAGAGGCCAAGUUCGAGGGUGAACUAAUCCAACUCUGCGAGUCAGAAAAAAGUGAACAGGCAAAGGCACUUCUGAAGCAAUGCUUGGCUGCUCUCAAAGAGCUCACUGGCGUAACCAUGACGAUGGGUUAG
RNAcentral lists this ribosomal RNA (5439 nucleotides) under Triticum aestivum (bread wheat). RNAcentral describes it as "partial small subunit ribosomal RNA". The record is from RNAcentral. Lineage: Eukaryota; Viridiplantae; Streptophyta; Magnoliopsida; Poales; Poaceae.